GGGCAGUUGGGUGAUGUCCAGUUUUCCACAAUAAAAACCGCACUGCCGUGACCAUACACGUGUGUGCCUUGCAUAUGCCUGGGGAGGAGUGGCCGGGUGUGUGAGCAUCUUGGGGCUCCCUGCUGUAUCUGAAAGGGGCCUGGAACAUAACAGGCGAGAGUAAAUGCAGAACAGAUGGAUUCGUGGAUGAGGUGGAGGAAGGAUGAGCCACGUCCAUCCAGGUGCAGGCUUUUUCUACUCUGUGUUUUGAGACUCAUCCGUCCCUGGGAGGAUCCCGCUCCUUUGCUCAGUGUCAGUGUCCUGGCAGCUGGUAGAGGCAAGCAAGAGAAGAAAAAGGCCCCAUGUCUACCCUCCCAGAAAGAACUUCAGGUAACGAGGUAAGUUCAGACGAGCACGGAGGCACACCGAGGUGGGUUUUGGGAGACAAGUCUUUCUAGUGCGGUCUCUUCCAAGCCAAGACUUAAGGGACCAUCAACCACAGGAAGAUCUGGGGAAAGGGAGCAUCAGGCAGAGAAAAUGGCAUGUGCAAAGGCCAGGAGGUAAGGGAGA
This 549-nucleotide long non-coding RNA is filed under the name Saimiri boliviensis boliviensis (Bolivian squirrel monkey). Its description in RNAcentral is "lncRNA (ENSSBOG00000036677.1)". Lineage: Eukaryota; Metazoa; Chordata; Mammalia; Primates; Cebidae. The record is from RNAcentral.